CUGACCUCCUGACAUGGGGAGGAUCAUCUGUUUCCAGGCCAUGGUUGACCACAAGUAACUGAAACCAUGGAAAGCCAAUCCACAGAGAGAGGCAUAGCCAGCGGAACGCAUACAUAGAAACAUCUGUUUGCCAUGGCCGGGAUGGUUGGCUUGCAGCUUCUGCCUACACAGAGCUCUUCAAUACCAGGGUGAUGAAAUAAUAGCCAGUCCAAAGAAGACAGGGUGAGGCUUACUAAAACUAAAGGUUGUUCCAGAGAAACAGGAAGGAAAGUCAUCAGUUGUGAAAGAGGACUGCAAAAAUGGUGUGAGCAUCACUGGCAAAAAAAAAAAAUAUUAAAGUCUGAUACAAAAAAAGGAGUCAUCAAGGAUAUGAAACAGAAACUUUCAUACACUAUGGGUGGGCAUGAAGAUCGGCAGCUAUUAAUUGGAUUUGAGAGAGAAAAGGGGAGAGAGAAGAGAGGAAAGAUU
This 468-nucleotide long non-coding RNA is filed under the name Mustela putorius furo (domestic ferret). RNAcentral describes it as "lncRNA (ENSMPUG00000030702.1)". The record is from RNAcentral. Lineage: Eukaryota; Metazoa; Chordata; Mammalia; Carnivora; Mustelidae.